Molecule: long non-coding RNA, 7681 nt
Filed under: Solanum tuberosum (potato)
Lineage: Eukaryota; Viridiplantae; Streptophyta; Magnoliopsida; Solanales; Solanaceae
Description: long non-coding RNA (STUB_LNC010420)
Source: RNAcentral
AAAUGUUAAAGUAGCCUUGAAUUGUUAAUUGGCUAAUUGCCAUUUAGUAAGUCAUAUAGUUCAUCCAUCUAAUAAGUCAUUUAUAUAAUGCAUAAUCUUGACUUGAAAAGGAAAAAAUAAAGAGGGUACCAAAAGGUUCAUCUUUAUUGCUAAAAACUAUGUUUUUCCCUAUGGCCUAGACACAAUUGCAAAAAGAAAAACCAAUACUCUAGUGAAUUAGCUUCAACUACCCUGCACAGACUUCAUAUCAUACCCUUAAAGUUUCUUAACAUAAAUCUAUGGCAAAUUUAAUGAUCAGAAAGUAACAUGGCAUUGCCCUCCAACACAAGUGCAUUCAUAUCUUAAUCUCUUUACCAAAAAUCCAGCUGACAGGAACGGGACUUCGCUGCUUGGCCCUUGCCUGUGCUCUCUCCUCCAAUUUUCUAAUCCUCGGAGCCAGUCCACAUACAUAAUCUUGUGCUCUGCGUCCUUCACCAGAAAGAUGCAGUAUAAAAAGAAGUCCACUAGCACCGGAAUCUUCCUCAAAAAGAGGCAGCAAGAGUUGUAUGAGUACAAAAUCAUGCGUACUCCAUAGGCAUCAUAGGCCUACCAACCAGAGUUAGUAACAAUAAUGUACAGAGGAUGUUAUUAACUGUGCACUCAGAAAAUGUCCCUGCAGUUCAGUAUAAGAUAGUCAAUAAGAAGCAACGCAAAGCAAAACAAUAAUAAAAAUGCAACGCAAUAUGAUGCAAUGCUAAUGACCCUACUAAUCCUCCAAUUUUCUAAUCCGCGGAGCCAGUCCACACACAUAAUCUUGUGCUCUGCGUCCUUCACCAGAAAGAUGCAGUAUAAAAAGAAGUCCACUAGCACCGGAAUCUUCCUCAAAAAGAGGCAGCAAGAGUUGUAUGAGUACAAAAUCAUGCGUACUCCAUAGGCAUCAUAGGCCUACCAACCAGAGUUAAUAACUAUAACGUACAGAGGAUGUUAUAAACUGUGCACUUAGAAAAUGUCCCUGCAGUUCAGUAUAAGAUAGUCAAUAAGAAGCAACGCAAAGCAAAACAAUAAUAAAAAUGCAACGCAAUAUGAUGCAAUGCUAAUGACCCUACUAACAUACACUCCACAGGAAAUGUUGUCAGGUGGGACCCAUGAGGGACUUGUGAGGUCCAUAUACCCUACCUGGACUCGAACCAAGACUUUCGUCAAUAUAGUCUGUCCGAUUCAAUAAAUUUACUUUCAAGUCAAGCCCUUAGACCACAUUUCACCACUAUAAGCAUAUUGCUUUCAAUAUAAUGUCAAUCUUGACAAAUUAACCCCUCAUAUGUGAUAAAAUACCCGAAAUUGAGUAAAACUUGGCAAUGAUGUAAUUUCAAGUCAUCACCCGAGUUAAGUAUGAGAAAAGUAAGCAAUAACCUACCUUGAAAGUCGAGUAACGUGCCACACAUAAAUGCACAGACAUAUAUUUAAAGUACUUCUUUUAGUAGCAUCACGGCUCAAUUAUAAGGGAGUAAUUUUAUCCUUGAUAGCAACGCAGGAACUCUUCAUAACUGUUAGGGUACCGAAUCCCAUCAGCUAAAAAUCCUUAUUGUUAUUGUCACCACUCAAUGAUGGUCCCUCCCCCCUACUUAAUUUCACUUCUGGAGGAUCAAUACUGGUGGUGAUGAGGUGAAAGUAGAGAUUAAAAAUGUUUAGGAGGAAAUGAAGAAUAUAUCAGAAAAUAAUUCUGUUGGAAAGUUUGAGGAAAUCACGUCGUUAGACGUAAAGGACUAUGAAGACCUGGGGUUGAUAAUAGAACUAGAGGAAUUAGGAGAAAGUAGUUUUGAAAAUUCUAGCAUAUAUUUUAAUGUACCAUAUAAGGUGUACAACACUAGCUUUUUCAAAAUUACUUAUCCCUAAUUCCUCCAAUUCUACAAUCAAUCCCAACUCCUCAUAGUCUUUCACGUCUAACGACGUGAUUUCUUCCAGCUUUUCAAUAGAACUAUUUUUUGAUAUAUCUUCACUUCCUCCUCAACAUUUUUAAUCUCUACUCUCACCUCAUCACCACCGGUAUUGAUCCUCCAGAAGUGAAAUUAAGUGGGGGCAGGGGGGAACCAUCAUUGAGUGGUGACAAUAACAAUAGGGAUUUUGAGAUGAUUGAAUGGAUUUGGUACCCUAACAGUUACGGAGAGUUGUUGCGGAUCAUCAGUGUUUUUCUUUCUUUUGAGAAAAUUGAAUAUCAAAUAUUUUGAAUUGGGAUAUGGAAGUCGAUGAAAUUGAAUUGGAAAGAAAGAGAAUAUCAAUGAAAUAGAAAAACCCUUAUAGGUUCUUGAAUUUUUCAGGGGAUAUGAAACUAGAAAUCAAUCGAAUAUACUAACGUUAAUAGUUUAAAGGGGAAAGAAUGAAAUUGGAAAAUCCUUUUCAAUUUGAGAUAUGGAGGUAGAGAAACUUGAAAGAAAAUGAAUUGGAAAUUAAAAGGAAAAGAGGAUGAGAUCUGAAAUUGAGAAAAAGGGAAGAAGAUGAGAUCUGAAAUUGAGAAAAAAGGAAGAAGAUGAGAUCUGAAAUGGAGAAAAAAAGAAGAAGAUUAGAUCUGAAAUCGGGAAAAGAAAAAAUUAAGGGAAAGAGAGAGAAAGGGAAGAUGGGCUAAAAUAAAAUUUGUGUUAUAGCAUAGAUCAAGUUAUAAAGGAAAUGAGUUAAACGGUGGGGGAUUUAAUUUGACGACACGUCGUAAAUUUGGUAUUUAAAAUUUUUAAAAAAUUGGCUAAUAAAAUAUGACGUGUUGUUAGAUAUGACAUUCUAUACCCAAUUAACCCGUGGCAUGAAUAAGCCAUAGUCAUAACGAUCAUAGCAAAAGUGGUACCUAAUUUAUCUGCUAUAAAGACAUCAACAACAAAUAAAUGAGAAACUGCCAAGAAAAAUAUAUUCCUAAAAAGGAAAAAUAACUACAAUAAAAUAGUGUGCUAAUCAAAGUACAAGAGAUAAAUAGAUAGUAAAAAACUCAAAGUUUUAAGAACUAUAGGAGAAAUACUAGGGCUACCGCUAUGGAAGGAUAUGCAAGAGAAUAUUCUACUACCUAUUAACCUUCUAACCUAAUUCUUGUCUUCCACAACUUUCUAUCUAAGGUUAUGUCUUUGGUAAGCUACGACUGCAUCAUGUUCUAUCUAAUCACCUCUCCCCAAUACUUCUUCAGUCUACCUCUAUCUAUCCUGAAACCAUUCAUAACCCCUCACACUUUUACAUGGGCAUCUGUGCAUUUCCUCUUCAUAUGCUUAAACCAUCACAGUCUCGCUUUAUGCAUCGUGUCCUCUAUUGAGAUCACUUGUACCUUAUUUCAGACAUUCUUAAUCUAAUCUCUCAUAGUAUGCCGACAUAUCCACCAAAACAUUCUCAUUUCUGCAACUUUAAUCUUGUGAACGUAAGAGUUCUUGACUAGCCAACACUCCUAGCCAUACUCUAACCACCACUCUGCAAUACUUGCCUUUGAGUUUUGAUGACAUCUUCUUAUCACACAAUACUCCAGAUGCGAGCCUACAUUUUAUCCACUCUGCACCAAUACAAUGUGUGACAUUAUCAUCACUUUGUCCAUUCCUUGGAUAAUAGACCCAAGAUACUUGAAUCUUCCUUUCUUUUGAAUGACAUGUGCAUCAAGCCUCACUUCUACUCCACCCUUAUAUUAACAUACCAAUAAAUUGAAGCACUUCAAUUUAAAAUCUUAAGGUAAUUAGUGCAGAUUUUAGAGUGUUUACACACUCACAAAUCCUAAUCGUAACUUAUCACAAGUGAAAGAAUGUUGUAAAAGAAAAACCCUCAACUCUCUGACACAAUUAAAUAUGUAUAAACCCCUUUAAAAUGUUCCCGACUUGAUGUGAUACAGUAAAUCUUUAUAAUAAUACAACAAAUUUUGUGUCAAGUUGAUUUGGAGCACAUUCCACUUGGGAAAAAGGUAAAAGUUGAAAAUGCAAUAUUUUGCUAAGUACUAUCUUCUAUUUUACUCUAUGGUUUGAUUUGGAAUACAUUUCAGAGGUGAAAAAGGUAAACAUCUAAUCAAGGAAAAUGCUAUAGUAGCCGUGAAUUGUUAAUUGCCAUUUAGUAUUUCCAAACCAACAAACAAAGCAUUUGGCUUGUGUAAAUGCUUUUUGUUCCCCUGGAACUCCACUGUUUUAGAAUUUUUUUAUAAAUAAAUCAAUGUGCUUCCAUCAGGUCAAUUGAUUUUAUAGUUCUUCAAAUACAAAAUAGAUGAUAACUUUUCUGAACUGCUUUUUUGUUUUGUACUUACACCUUGAAUUUUGUUUUCCUGGAGUCGAAGAAAUCCUAAACUUUCUUCUUCUUUAUUCAAAUUGUAAAUGACUUUGUGACCCUUUCCUAUUUCCAAAUAGCGCUGGCCUAAGUGCAAAUAUAGUAGGAUAAUUUAUGUAUAAUAGACCCUUCUGACCCUUCCCCAGACCUCACGCAUAGCGAGAGCUUAGUGCACCGGCUGUCCUUCUUAAAGAGUUUAUAUCCUAGAUGCACCCAUUUAAUAAGUCAUAUAUAAAAUGCAUUAUCUUUACUUUAAAGGGAGAUUAAAAAAAAGAAGGUACCAAAAGCUUCAUCUUUAUUGCUAGUAAAUAUGUUUUUCCCUAUGGCCUAAACACAAUUUGCUGGAACAAAGCUAACUUAGUAAGGGCCUAUGAGUUAGAAGUGGUGAAAAAGAUUGGGCUGAGUAAAAUGUUGGAGCAUUUUAUUUGGGAAUCAGACCCAAUUAGCAUCUGGUUAAAAGGGAGAAGUGGUCUGAAAGAAGGGGUUAUGCUUGUUAUGAAGAAAAUCUUUGUUCCUCUAAUCUUCUUCUAGAUCUAAGUUUCUCAUCCUCAUUCUUAUAUAUUUCCUUAGUUACUUGUUAUUUCAAAUUUUCUAUUGUAAGUCAAUAGUUUAAGUGUUGCCGUUGUAAUUUGGCUAUCAGUGAUUAUAUAAUACUUGAGUAUUUGUGUUGAGAUUUCAGGUUUGUUACAUUGGUGCUUUCAUCCAUCGGUCUCCAACAAUGGCGAUGUUUCUACCUUGAUUCAGCGGCGACGGCAUCCCAGAGAGCUGGAUUUUCAGGCCCAGUUGUACUUCACAAAUCUUGGCUUUGACGAGGAUGAUUAUUUUCCCCUUCCUUCAUUCUACCUUUAUGGUGAAGCUUAUUUCACAAUAAGCUAAUUUUUGAUUGGAAGCAUUUCAAGGGUAAAUUUGCUCAGUGGUUUCAAUAACAAACCAACAACAAUGUAGUGGGGCGUCUAGCUAAUUCAUCACAAGUUCAUUUUUGACUGCGUUAAUUAUGUCCCUAUAGUUUCACAAUCAGCUGUGGUGUCUCCCAGUCAUUUUCCAGCAUCAUCUGCCCUUGAUUUUGCUUAUGAAACUGGUAACUCAAAGGCGGACCUUGUGCUUUAUAAAUUGCCAGAGACGUAUUAACAUGUGGAUUCCUAGGCAUUGAUUACUGGAAGUAAUACUGAGACUGAAGCUCUUAAAGACAGGUACUCACCUCAUACAGGGAAUGCAAAGUCAGUAGAGGGAGCAAAUUUGGUAUCGGGACCUUUUUUCAAUGCUGAAAACAAGGCGUUCGAUGAAAUGUCACACACAACAGUGAGCUUUGAAAUUGUCCACGAGGGAGAAACUUUGCAACUACAGUGCGACGAUAGCUUCUGUGUAGAUGUCAGCUUGAAUACAAAGGUGCCUACUGCGAUGUUAGAUGAUAUGAAAGAAUCUAAUACUGAGGAGGAGGACAACCCACGAGAUAAUCUAGCUUUGUUUGACAAAAGUCCUAAAUGGGAUACAUCGGGUUUUUCUGGUUCCUUUUUCUAGCCAAGGUACUGUAAUGUUGAAUGUGAGUAUGCAAAUUGCUGUAAUCGAAUAUCCAUUCAUGGUGUCUAAUGGGAUCACACUAUUCCUUGUUUGCAUAAUUCUCUUGAAGAAAUGUGUGGGGGUAAACAAACUAGAGUGCCGCCUUACCUUGUCUUUAGCUUACACAAAUGCAAUUGGGUUGAUACUGGGCAGGAGUGCAAUCUUCCUUGUUUCUUGUCGUCUAACUCGAGAGGGUGUGGUAGUGAGAAGAAAAUGGAGGAAGUACUCCAGGUAAAUUGUUGUAAGUUCCUCCAAGCAGUCACCAUAUACUUGAGCUGUUAAGCUCUUGUUUGCUAUGUUUGUUCUAGUCCAUAAAGCAAGGGUGACUUCGUCGUAUAUUGUCUGUGAUCCUGGUCCUUAUCUUGAUUAUGUCACGAUCUAUGCAAUAGACUCUACUUUUGGAGAUGGAAAAUCCAUAGAGGGGGGGGGGGGGGGGGUAACAGUACUAUUUGAACUCCCAGGUGUGAAGUUUCUUAUUGGGCAAGUACUCUCUGUGCAAAUUGGUAUCACUUCGGACGUUUGCAAUAAACUUGGCGCUUAUGUUUGCUGUCAUUUGGGACAUGCACAUUUUUCCAUUAGGAAUCUGAUGUCAUACUAUAGAUGGUUCCUUUUGUAGUCCCGUGGACAAUUGGCUCGACACUGUGCAGGAUGAUAUAGGUGGUGCAUUGAUUGCUAAUGAAUCUUUAAAUUGGUUACACUGCAAAGUUGUAUGAUUAGGGGUUUGUCGAUGGAGUUGAAAUUGAUAUUCAAAGUUAUGGUGCUUUCAACACUUCGUUUGCAAGUUACAAACUACAGAGGAUUGAUUUCACCAAAUGUAUUUUUGCUGCCCAACGUUGAAAUGAUGAGGUAUCAUAUUAAAAUCUGUUUGAUCCAUUUGUGAAUCUGGUCAAAGCUAACAGUCUUGUAGAAUAUUAAGUAUCUGUUCAAAGCUAAUAGUCUUGAUGAAAUAUGAUGUUUGUUAUUUAUACAUAUAUAUAUAUAUAUAUAUAAAAAAAAGUAGCAUACAUUUAUAUGAUACAUAGUGACCUGAAUUAGUUACAUCUAUCUAUUUCCGAAUUAACAUAUCUGAUGCAUCCGUUUUCAGCAUACAUAUAUUGUAAUUUCGGUUUUCUUGUAUCUAUUAGUUGGAUUAGUGAAUAGUAGUGGCUGGUAUUUUUUUUGUUCUCCUACCCGGUGUCCAGCCUCACUCCCUGGGCUAUUUGAACUAGACCAUGGACAGCAGAGGAAAAUAGGCAUGGUGAUCUUCUCAACAAAUAUCUUUAUCUUUCGUAAGAGUUGAUAUGAAGCAUAUUGAAAAGACAAUCCAUUACCCAAUUGGUUCUGGGAUGGUAAGAUUUUUACCAGACCUUAUGUUAUCAUGUAGGUUUGCUGAGGUUUAUAAUAAAUAGUGCAGCUUUUAGCAAGUGUUAUCUGUCUCUGUCCAUCUGCAUUUGGCUCCAAUAAACGUUGGUUACAUUUCUUUGAGUUAUUUGUACCAGUAACUGGUUUAUGAAUGAGUGCUCUUGGAAUAUCCCAUGACUAAGUGACCAUUUCCUAGUUCCAAAAAGCUCAGGCUAGUGCAAAUAUAGCAGAAUAAGCUAUGUAUAAUAGACCCUUCCCCGGAUUAGCACAUACAAAAGGUUCAUCUUUAUUGCUAAUAACUAUGCUUUUUCCUAUGGCCUAAACACAAUUGCAAAAUUUUAUACAAAUCUAGUGAAGUAGGUUUAAACUCCACUGCACAGAUUUCAAACCAUACCCUCAAAGUUUCUUAAUACAAAUCUAUGGAAAAUUUAAUGUUCAGAAUUGCCCUCCAACACAAGUGCAUUCAUCUCUUAAUCUCUUUCCUCCAAUUUUCUAAUCCGCGGAGCCAGUCCACAUACAUAAUCUUGUGCUCUGC